AUUGAACGCUGGCGGCAGGCUUAACACAUGCAAGUCGAACGGUAACAGGAAGAAAGCUUGCUUUCUUUGCUGACGAGUGGCGGACGGGUGAGUAAUGCUUGGGAAUCUGUUCCAUGGAGGGGGAUAACUACGGGAAACUGUAGCUAAUACCGCGUAAUAUCGAGAGAUUAAAUGUGUGGGACCGUAAGGCCACAUGCCAUGAAGUGAGCCCAAGUGGGAUUAGAUAGUUGGUGAGGUAAUGGCUCACCAAGUCGGCGAUCUCUAGCUGGUCUGAGAGGAUGACCAGCCACACUGGGACUGAGACACGGCCCAGACUCCUACGGGAGGCAGCAGUGGGGAAUAUUGCACAAUGGGCGCAAGCCUGAUGCAGCCAUGCCGCGUGAAUGAAGAAGGCCUUCGGGUUGUAAAGUUCUUUCGGUGGUGAGGAAGGUUGACGUGUUAAUAGCACGUUGAUUUGACGUUAGCCACAGAAGAAGCACCGGCUAACUCCGUGCCAGCAGCCGCGGUAAUACGGAGGGUGCGAGCGUUAAUCGGAAUAACUGGGCGUAAAGGGCACGCAGGCGGUGACUUAAGUGAGGUGUGAAAGCCCUGGGCUUAACCUAGGAAUUGCAUUUCAUACUGGGUCGCUAGAGUAUUUUAGGGAGGGGUAGAAUUCCACGUGUAGCGGUGAAAUGCGUAGAGAUGUGGAGGAAUACCGAAGGCGAAGGCAGCCCCUUGGGAAUGUACUGACGCUCAUGUGCGAAAGCGUGGGGAGCAAACAGG
Molecule: ribosomal RNA, 762 nt
Filed under: uncultured bacterium
Lineage: Bacteria
Description: bacterial SSU rRNA
Rfam family: Bacterial small subunit ribosomal RNA
Source: RNAcentral